RNAcentral lists this long non-coding RNA (3332 nucleotides) under Anser cygnoides (Swan goose). RNAcentral describes it as "lncRNA (ENSACDG00005013199.1)". The record is from RNAcentral. Lineage: Eukaryota; Metazoa; Chordata; Aves; Anseriformes; Anatidae.
AUGCUUUGUUGUCAGUGUAUGUUUGGGGAUUUAAAUUUGAUGCUUGUUUUUGCUUCAGGGGUUUCCAUCUCCUUCCACCCCGCCUGCGGGGACGGGAGUAGGGGAGGCUUCGCCCGGCUCCUGGGCGCCGCUUGCUGCUGCAGGCAGCCACGCUGCUCGGCCCAGGAGCAUCUGUGUGACCGAACUUGGGAGGCAUCUCAACUUGAUGAAGACAUUUUCCCGCUAUCUGCUGUUAUCUGGGUGCCUGGAAGAAUUCCGGAGGAGCUCUCAUCCUGCCUCCAGGCAGGGCUUAUGGGAUUUGCACCAGUCCCAGUUGCCAUGGAGAAAGUGUUAGAUAGCUUUAAUACAUCUGUGCGAAUUUCUCCCUGGAGUUUUCCCAUGACAAGCUGGACUGGAGAUCCAUCAGUUUGCCCUGCCUUUAACCAGAAGAUAGUUGAAGGAACGUGAUGGAAUCAAAAAUCUGGAAGGCAGGGGAAGCAGAGCCGGUACGCUGCGCUCAGAGCGAGCCUCCUCGUGAGCAAUCCUUCUGUCAGUGCCUUCACUUUCCUCUUCCUUUCUGCUUUUCUUCUAACCCCCCAGUGGUACUUCUAGCUGCUUUGGUUUCUCUAAACAUUAUCUUUUCCGCAGUUGAUGGGCUGUUGAAAUAUGAAGUCCAUAAAUCACUGGAUAAUGUCACAUCCACUGCGGUGUCUGUCCUGUUCAGCCUCAGCGAUCGCCCUGCCCGGCACGGAGGGAGCGCAGGGCCCGGUGAGCAGUACCCCCGUGCCACGAAGUCUGGUUGCCUGCUGCACGGGACAUUGCCGUUAUCCCGAGAGGAACACCCGGGGUGGGUGUGCUGGAAAACCAGCGCUGGGCUCAGCUGCCUCCACGCGGGUCCCCAGGGGUUGCUGAGACUUGCUGGAAAGCUGAGUUGCUGAGGUUGCUGGAAAAUUGCUGCCCAGCAUUAAGAAGUUAAGAGUCAGACAUGGGGCUGGCGGUGCGGCGAUGCCCAGGCAGGCACCGGGACCCCCGGCUUCCCCACGUGGGAAAGCCUGGUGAGAGCAGCAGUGCUGAGCACAGCAUGAAACAGAAAGGCAAAGCCUGCUGCUUCCUGCCUUCCAGUUCUCUUCUCUCCCAGGGACCGUGGCGAGGCCAAGCCCGGCUCCUUGCUUUUCCCCUCCCUUGUUCUCCCCUGGUUUCUCUGCAGUCCCCUGCAAAUUCCCCCGCUCUGCGCCGGGGUGCGCGGGUGCUCAGCUGGAGGAUUGCUUGCCGUGGAGAGGAGAGGUGGCAUGGCAAAGCAUGUGCUUCUGCUGAUAUGCUGGGGUUAAAAAGUAAUUAAUUAGCUAGUUUAUGGUGUUUUCCCAUCUGAAAUUAAAAACAAAAAUUAUGCAGAACAUACAAGGUAAUUAGGAAGCAGCAAGCUACAACACACCUUUAAAUGAGAGCUCUAAAAAGCAUGAUGUUCGGCAGCAGAUUUUUAAUGUAACAGCUAUUAAAAGCUUACACCCUCGAUCGCGUUCCUGGGAACAUUCAUCACGCUUCGACCUUCCCUUACGGAUCCAGGUAGAGCCCUAGCAAAACCUGAAUUUUUAAUAUUCCUGGUGCUUAUCCAUGAUCAGAUUUCCCAUUUAAAAUCUAUUAGCCAAGAUGAGAAAAUUGGUUCAUAUUUUAUGUGCCUAGUUUAAUUUUUUUUUCUUUGCAUUUACAACUGGCCCCUAGUGUUUCAUCCACCCCCUAAUGAUUUAGCUGUGCAAGAUGUUCCACCAAUUUAUUAGAGUGGAGUGUAUGGAGCAGGUCAUGCAUAUUAAACAUGAAGUUUUUACUACAGUUGGUUCAAUAAUCCGAAAGAAAAACAUUAUUGUAUUUUUUUAAUUUUUUUUACUGUGUUACCAGGUGCCACUUGUGGAAGGGCAGCCCCUCCGCCUGGCACCCGGCACUGCUGCAGGAUGUGGGGCACGACGGGCAAGCAGCAGCCCAGCCCCAUGCGGGUGCGCCUCAGGACGGGGCCCGGUGCUGCGCUGUGCUUGCCGUGGUGAAACACGUGUGGGCUUCACAGCCUCCUCUCAGGAGAGGAGGCGACUAUUGAUCCGCGUGUCUCUCUUUUGUCAUUAAAUCAAAGUCGGAAAUCAAAGCUUUGUGCUGUUAUUCGUUUCAGCAAGGUCUGAAACACCAGCGGAAGAGGUCUGCGCGGUGCUUCGCUCCCCUCGGGUCCCGCCGCAGCAGAGCCCGUCUGCGCAGGGCUCGGAGGGCUCUCCUCCCGGUGCCUGGGGCUCUGCCCACCUCUCGUUCCCUCACGUCGCAGCGGGUGCUGCGGGUCCCGGGAUGCGGGAGGUAGGUGUUCAUCUGGGGAGCUGCUGGGCAGGACAGCCCGGGGAUGCUGGGGGCUGUCGGGGGCUGUAAGCCCACCCGGUGACGCUUCCCCUGUUCCUGCAGCCCUGUUUGUAGUCAGCAGCCGCUCGCAUUUCCAAUUACACUUUUGUCACCCAUAUCAGUCAUUGCCAGUGUGUAUUUGCUGGCCCGGAGAAAAUCUUUGGUCAGAUUGGGGUUGGAUUUCUGUUAGUUUUCUCAGGCUGUCCUGCGAGGACGUGGCCGAGACAUUAACCCCAGCACGGCACCGGGGGUUCGUUCCCACGCUGCGAACGCAAUCAGGGAUGAAAUAUUCCUGAGAUAAGGCUGGCUAAUUAGCAUACAGUCAAUUGCUGCUUCUCUGCUUUCAGAUGUCUUUCACUUGUCAAGCUCAGAAUCAUAACGUAAUUAGGAUUUUUUCGAUUAACACUUUUACACGGAGCCCUGCGCUUCCUCUCUGGGCGCUGGGCAGGCUCACCAUGCCGCACGUUUCCUUCCUACCGGGCCAAAAAUAGUGGUGGGGCUGUGAUUGGCAGCCUGUCCUGGUAAUUAGCCACAGGAUGUCUGCUGCCAGUGGAAGCCAACGGAGACAUCAGCAAAAGGGAAAUCAGAGGAAACAACCCGAAACUGUGAUCCAAGCAUCUGCUGCUGCUGCAGUGACCGAGCUGGGUCCCCAGCCGGCUGAGGAGGGGCCCUGCAUGAGACCUGUGAGUAUUAUGGGCAGCAACCGAAUCGUUUCAACUAUUUCAGAGGUCAUUCUGUUUCCGCGUGCUUCUUCAUGGUUUUCCCUGUUUUUCCUGCUUUCAGCCCAUGCGGCUAGGUGCAGCACCCUUGCAGACAGGGGGAUCGGCACGAGCAAUGGUGGCGACGCAGGCUGAGCCGAGCGGGCAGUGGGAGAGCAGUCGUCCUCCCCAAAACGCCAGCGCCAAGCCUGGCAGUGAGGAAACGAGAAGAUAUCUUCUAAAGCAGAGAUAAAUAAAAGCCACUGCAUAAAUAGUACCUAUGCA